RNAcentral lists this ribosomal RNA (498 nucleotides) under uncultured bacterium. RNAcentral describes it as "bacterial SSU rRNA". It matches the Rfam family "Bacterial small subunit ribosomal RNA", at positions 17 to 518 of the family's 1533-position model. The record is from RNAcentral.
UUCUGGCUCAGGAUGAACGCUGGCGGCGUGCUUAACACAUGCAAGUCGAACGGAGUUUUAACGGAAGUUUCGGAUGGAAGUUUAGAAACUUAGUGGCGGACGGGUGAGUAACGCGUGGGUAACCUGCCUCAUACAGGGGGAUAACAGUUAGAAAUGACUGCUAACACCGCAUAAUAUAGCGAAACCGCAUGAUUUUGCUAUCAAAUAUUUAUAGGUAUGAGAUGGGCCCGCGUCUGAUUAGCUAGUUGGUGGGGUAAAAGCCUACCAAGGCGACGAUCAGUAGCCGGCUUGAGAGAGUGACCGGCCACAUUGGGACUGAGACACGGCCCAAACUCCUACGGGAGGCAGCAGUGGGGAAUAUUGGACAAUGGGGGAAACCCUGAUCCAGCCGACGCCGCGUGAGUGAAGAAGUAUUUCGGUAUGUAAAGCUCUAUCAGCAGGGAAGAUAAUGACAGUACCUGACUAAGAAGCCCCGGCUAACUACGUGCCAGCCGCCGC